This 482-nucleotide ribosomal RNA is filed under the name uncultured bacterium. Its description in RNAcentral is "SSU rRNA". It matches the Rfam family "Bacterial small subunit ribosomal RNA", at positions 26 to 518 of the family's 1533-position model. The record is from RNAcentral.
AGGACGAACGCUGGCGGCGUGCUUAACACAUGCAAGUCGAGCGAGGCCCACCUUUCGGGGUGGUGUCCUAGCGGCGAACGGGUGAGUAACACGUGGGCAACCUGCCCUCAGCUCUGGGAUAACUCCAAGAAAUUGGGGCUAAUACCGGAUAUGACCGCUGACCGCAUGGUCUGGUGGUGGAAAGAUUUAUCGGCUGGGGAUGGGCCCGCGGCCUAUCAGCUUGUUGGUGGGGUAGUGGCCUACCAAGGCGACGACGGGUAGCCGGCCUGAGAGGGUGACCGGCCACACUGGGACUGAGACACGGCCCAGACUCCUACGGGAGGCAGCAGUGGGGGAAUAUUGCGCAAUGGGCGAAAGCCUGACGCAGCGACGCCGCGUGGGGGAUGACGGCCUUCGGGUUGUAAACCGUCUUUCAGCAGGGACGAAGCGAGAGUGACGGUACCUGCAGAAGAAGCACCGGCCAACUACGCGCCAGCAGCCGC